Molecule: ribosomal RNA, 2695 nt
Filed under: Tuber microsphaerosporum
Lineage: Eukaryota; Fungi; Ascomycota; Pezizomycetes; Pezizales; Tuberaceae
Description: large subunit ribosomal RNA
Rfam family: Bacterial large subunit ribosomal RNA (bases 57-1134)
Source: RNAcentral
AGUAUAUAAAGAAAUUAUUAUGGAUUAUAAGCAAUAUAUCACAAGAGAGAACAACUAUUUAUUUAAUUUGUGUUUAGUAGUACACAUGAACUCUUAGAGAAAUUAAGUAAAAAACGAAGUGAAAAGAAGGCUCUUAGUAACUUUAGGAAAAUAAAUCAAAGGAGAUUCUAUUAUUAGUGUGAAUGAAAAUAGAAAAGCCUAUAAAUAAAUAAGUAAAAUGGAUAUUAAUCUGUUUGAAUUAUAAAGGGGAACCUUCCUCUAAGGCUAAAUAUGAUAUAUUAGCGAUAGUGAAUAGUACCGAGAGGGAAUAAUAUGAAAUAGUAAUUUUAUAAGCAGCUCGAAACCAAAUUUAAAUAAAUAAUAAGAGCGUACCUUUUGCAUAAUGGGUCAGCAAGUUAAUAUUAGAUGUAAGCAGUAUUGCCCAGAUAAAACGAUUAUAAUAUAUAUGGAAAAAUAUCUAAAAUUAGACCCGAAACCUAGUGAUCUUACCAUAAUCAGAAUUAUAAAAGUUCGAACGGGUUAUCGUUGUAAAGAUAUCCGAUGAAUUGUGGUAAGUUGGUGAAAGAUAAAACUGACUAGGAUAGCUGGUUUUCCGCGAAACCUAUCUAAGUAGGCCAUUUAAAUAACAUCAUUGCAGGUACAGAAUUUUGAGAUCUCAUUAAAAACUUACGUUAACUUCUUAUUAUUAAGUAUAUGAAGUAUUCGGGGAAUCGUGAAGAUUUUACUGGUGAGAAAUUAAUCUAGGAAUGGUAAUGAUGAAUGUUGAAUAAUCAGACAUAGAAUGCUAAGGUUGUAUGUCAAAAGGGAAACAGCCCAGAACAAGUGUUAUAAUAAGGUUCCAAAAUUAUUAUUAAGUGAAAUCAAGGAAGUCUUUUGAUUUUAAUUCGAUCAGGAAAUAGGCUUAGAAGCAGCCAUUUUUUUGAAGACCUGCUGAGCAUUGUGGGAAUUUGCUCAUUGUGGGUUUAAAACUAUCAAACUCCGGGGACACCCUAAACUUUUAAUUACCAAACAUCAAACCUAAAAGGGUUACGGUGCGGUGGAAGUAAUUACUCCAGUAUGGUAAGAAGAUUAAAGAUCAUCCGAAAGGAUAAUGGGUUAUCGCGGAUCUAAAUCACUUCUAGUGUAGAUAACUGCACAAGUGUAAAAGAGCAACGAGUAGAUGGUAGUUGACACAAUUGAUUGUGUUUCAGGUGUACUCUAAUGGGUUUCGAAAGAAACUAUCAAAUCAGAAUCCCUUCUAAUCAAAUAAUAAACAAACAUAUAAUUUUCUUCCGUAUAUCGAUAAUUAAAAAUAAAAAUUCUAAAGGGAAAGCACUUCCCUUAUCAGUUCGGCUUUAUUUUCAGAUUGGUUUACAUAGAAAGACUUAUUGAUUACUUUGAAAAAUAUCCUCUGAUAACACAGAAAUUAGCUGAUUAUCUUCUAUUCAAACAAGCGUUUGAACUUAUUAAAAAUAAAGAACAUUUGACUAUGAAAGGUCUAAAGAAACUUGUAGCAAUAAAAGCUAGCAUUAAUUGAGGUCUUCCAGAUGGAUUAAAGAAAGCAUUUCCUGAUGUUGACCCAGUUAAGAGACUUAACGUUGUUCAUAAAGAAACAAUAGAUCCUAAUUGACUAGCAGGAUUCACAAGUGGCGAAGGAUCUUUCUUGGUAAGGCUUUUUGAUUCAUCUCACAAUAUAACAGGUAGUCAAGUACAAUUAAGAUUUCAAAUUACUCAACAAUCUCGUGAUCUAGUCUUAAUGGAAAACAUAGUAAAAUAUUUUAGUUGUGGAAAUAUCUCUAAACGUGGAGAUAUUAUAGAUAUUCAUGUAACAAAAUUUAGUGACAUAACUGAAAAGAUAAUUCCAUUAUUUGAAAAAUAUCCCGUCAUAGGAGUGAAAAAGGAAAACUUUUAUGAUUUUUGUAAAGUAGCUGAAUUAAUGAAGAAAAAAGCUCAUCUAACAAAAGAGGGUCUGGAACAAAUUCGUGAAAUAAGAAAAAAUAUGAAUAGCUAUAGGGAAAGUUAUCAGGAUGAGGCUGAUCUCGUAUAAGUUAAAGCAGUUGGUUAUGUAUGGUGUCAUUUGCGGUCUUGAGCGCCCCCUUACCCAAGGGGAUUUUAAAUCAAAAUUCUCCUUCAUGUGAGACUAGAUCUUGUAUGAAGGUAAAACUAUUGUUUGUUUGCCGGCUCCGCCGGUGUAUUUGUAUGAUAAAUCUGAUCGCUAUGCGUAACAGAGCACUGGUUAACAAUGUAAAAAGGCAUUGAAAAUUUAACGGAUCUAAAAUAAUAUACCGAAACCUUGUCUAUAGUUAUAAAUAUUUAUAUUGUAUAACUAUAGGGUAGCGGAACGUAGGGGAUAUAAAAGAAUUUGUUCUUUUUAAGAAAAAAUAAUAUAACUCUAGUGAUAAUGCUGACAUGAGUAACGAUAAAGGCCAAUCUAUAGGUUGACCUCGCCUUAAGCUUAUGGUAUAGAUAAAAGUAACGGCCUCUAAGUUUAUUAACCUAAAGGACUAAACGAUGAGAAAACCUUGUUUAUAAAGUAAUAACCUUUAAAUUUUUAAACAUUUUGGGGUCGCGCGCCCUCUUUAGGAGAGCGCGCCCCCAAUAUCUGAUGUAAAUAAUAAGUGAUGAAGAGUUCAGGAAAAACGAUAAACACUUAACCGUACCUAAAUACCAGCUCAGGUAAGCAAGUAGAGAAUACGAAGGCGUUUGAGUGAACAAU